GAUGAACGCUGGCGGCGUGCCUAAUACAUGCCAGUCGAGCGAACAGACGAGGAGCUUGCUCCUCUGACGUUAGCGGCGGACGGGUGAGUAACACGUGGAUAACCUACCUAUAAGACUGGGAUAACUUCGGGAAACCGGAGCUAAUACCGGAUAAUAUAUUGAACCGCAUGGUUCAAUAGUGAAAGACGGUUUUGCUGUCACUUAUAGAUGGAUCCGCGCCGCAUUAGCUAGUUGGUAAGGUAACGGCUUACCAAGGCAACGAUGCGUAGCCGACCUGAGAGGUUGAUCGGCCACACUGGAACUGAGACACGGUCCAGACUCCUACGGGAGGCAGCAGUAGGGAAUCUUCCGCAAUGGGCGAAAGCCUGACGGAGCAACGCCGCGUGGGUGAUGAAGGUCUUCGGAUCGUAAAACGCUGUUAUUAGGGAAGAACAAAUGUGUAAGUAACUAUGCACGUCUGGACGGUACCUAAGCAGAAAGCCACGGCUAACUACGU
Molecule: ribosomal RNA, 496 nt
Filed under: uncultured bacterium
Lineage: Bacteria
Description: partial 16S ribosomal RNA
Rfam family: Bacterial small subunit ribosomal RNA
Source: RNAcentral